RNAcentral lists this ribosomal RNA (834 nucleotides) under Salmonella enterica. RNAcentral's name for it is "partial 23S ribosomal RNA". It matches the Rfam family "Bacterial large subunit ribosomal RNA", at positions 1969 to 2802 of the family's 2925-position model. Lineage: Bacteria; Pseudomonadati; Pseudomonadota; Gammaproteobacteria; Enterobacterales; Enterobacteriaceae. The record is from RNAcentral.
UUGUCGGGUAAGUUCCGACCUGCACGAAUGGCGUAAUGAUGGCCAGGCUGUCUCCACCCGAGACUCAGUGAAAUUGAACUCGCUGUGAAGAUGCAGUGUACCCGCGGCAAGACGGAAAGACCCCGUGAACCUUUACUAUAGCUUGACACUGAACAUUGAGCCUUGAUGUGUAGGAUAGGUGGGAGGCUUUGAAGUGUGGACGCCAGUCUGCAUGGAGCCGACCUUGAAAUACCACCCUUUAAUGUUUGAUGUUCUAACGUGGACCCGUGAUCCGGGUUGCGGACAGUGUCUGGUGGGUAGUUUGACUGGGGCGGUCUCCUCCUAAAGAGUAACGGAGGAGCACGAAGGUUGGCUAAUCCUGGUCGGACAUCAGGAGGUUAGUGCAAUGGCAUAAGCCAGCUUGACUGCGAGCGUGACGGCGCGAGCAGGUGCGAAAGCAGGUCAUAGUGAUCCGGUGGUUCUGAAUGGAAGGGCCAUCGCUCAACGGAUAAAAGGUACUCCGGGGAUAACAGGCUGAUACCGCCCAAGAGUUCAUAUCGACGGCGGUGUUUGGCACCUCGAUGUCGGCUCAUCACAUCCUGGGGCUGAAGUAGGUCCCAAGGGUAUGGCUGUUCGCCAUUUAAAGUGGUACGCGAGCUGGGUUUAGAACGUCGUGAGACAGUUCGGUCCCUAUCUGCCGUGGGCGCUGGAGAACUGAGGGGGGCUGCUCCUAGUACGAGAGGACCGGAGUGGACGCAUCACUGGUGUUCGGGUUGUCAUGCCAAUGGCACUGCCCGGUAGCUAAAUGCGGAAGAGAUAAGUGCUGAAAGCAUCUAAGCACGAAACUUGCCCCGA